UAGUCCACGCCGUAAACGAUGAGAACUAGAUGUCGGAAGGGUUUAGCCUUUCGGUGUCGCAGCUAACGCGUUAAGUUCUCCGCCUGGGGAGUACGGUGGCAACACUAAAACUCAAAGGAAUUGACGGGGACCCGCACAAGCGGUGGAGCAUGUGGUUUAAUUCGAUGCAACGCGAAGAACCUUACCUGCCCUUGACAUUGACAGAACCCUUUAGAGAUAGAGGGGUGCUUCGGCCUGGAAACAGGUGCUGCAUGGCUGUCGUCAGCUCGUGUCGUGAGAUGUUGGGUUAAGUCCCGCAACGAGCGCAACCCUUAUCCAUAGUUGCCAGCACGUAAUGGUGGGAACUCUAUGGAGACUGCCGGUGACAAACCGGAGGAAGGUGGGGAUGACGUCAAGUCAUCAUGGGCCCUUAUGGGGCAGGGGCUUCACACGUAAUACAAUGGCGCGUACAGAGGGUUGCCAACCCGCGAGGGGGGAGCUAAUCUCAGAAAGCGCGUCGUAGUCCGGGAUCGGGAGUCU
This 519-nucleotide ribosomal RNA is filed under the name uncultured bacterium. RNAcentral's name for it is "bacterial SSU rRNA". It matches the Rfam family "Bacterial small subunit ribosomal RNA", at positions 791 to 1306 of the family's 1533-position model. The record is from RNAcentral.